This is a long non-coding RNA of Xiphophorus maculatus (southern platyfish), 2567 nucleotides long. RefSeq lists it as uncharacterized. The record is from RefSeq and is a predicted model, not a curated record. The transcript is spliced from 3 exons. NCBI's taxonomy places the organism in Eukaryota, Metazoa, Chordata, Actinopteri, Cyprinodontiformes, Poeciliidae.
UCGAACCCGCGACAGCCGCGUCGAGGACUCAAGGCCUCCAAGUUUUUGUGCUGCAGCUGUAACCUGGAGCUUGUGCCUCAGCAGGUGUGGAUCAGUGCGGCCCGGUUGCUGAUCCUGAUCCGGUUCUCCGGCCCGCCGCUCUCAGGCUGCAAGGCAAACAACUGUUACCUACAAAUCAUCCGUCUCUAUUGGAAACCGGUUUUUCUCCCUGCCUGCUGCUCCCUCCCCCUCCUCCUCUUUCUGCAGAGCACAUGUCUGGUUGCAGUUUGCUGCGGCUGGGUUGUGCUGCGCUGGAGGACGCCGGGCCGAACCGGGCCGGGUCGGGCCAGGCCGGGUCGGUCAGUAGAACAUGUGUUGCUGUUGCUGGCCGGCAGCAGCAGCAGCAGCAUGUGCUCUUCAUCCCCCACACCACCGACAGGUGUUGGCUUCAUGUGACUGCCUGCCUGUCCGGACAGCGCUCCAAUGGAGGAGGAGGAAGAGGAGGAGGAGGAGGAGGAAGAGGAGGAGGAGGAGGAAGAGGCGGGGUGUGUAAAGUUUCAUCAACAACAACUGUGUCAACUGUGCAGCCGCUGGGUUGGGAAAGCAGCAGCGCAGGAUGCCUCUCCUCCUCUUCCUCCUCCUCUUCUUCCUCCUCUCCUCUCCUCUCCUCCUCUUCUUUAACUCCCCUGGAUGAAUGGAUGAAUCCACCCUUUUGUGUGCGAUGGGCCGUUCCUCGGCAACAGCUCCAUGGUUACAGUCCAAUAAAUAACAUCACACUCGCUCCUCUGCCUCUCUGGAUCUCAGGAUGCGAAGGAAAAGUUUCUUUGCUUUUGUUUCCUGAAACUGUGAAGCAGAUUCAGAAUCCCAAACUGAGCGUCUGAUCGGCGUCUCUGCAGCUGCGCCGUUUGGUGACUGGGUGAACGCACGCAGAGCCGCAGUGAUGAGCUGAAAACAUGCAAAGCGGCUCAUUAGAAAACCCAAAUCAGCUCCGGCAGAGGAACAGGUUUGGAGUGGGACGCGCCGAAAGAGAAGAUCUUUGUUUUUCUGCUGCUUUUUGUUUCGUUUGUUUACUUUAUGAAAAUAUAAAGAGCAGUUCUGCUGACAUGACAACCAGAUGUGAAGCAGAGUCUGAAAACUCUUUUCAUAUAGACUGUCAGUUGGUUUCAGGCCUGGACUUUGACUAGACCAUUCUAACCUUCUAACUUUGAACUCUGGUCAUUCUGUUUCCUCCAUGUUUCCUUCUUGGUUUCUUCUCAUCCAUAAAGCCCAGGUUAAUCUCCUGUUAGCCAGGGAUGUCCAAAGUGUGGCCCGGGGGCCAUCUGGGGACAUCCGGAUGAUUUUGUUUGGCCCUCCAGUCGAACUCAUCCCUUCAGCACAGGCAGGUCGAACCAAACUGAGGGUCAAACUGAAGGAAAGAAGCAGCAGCAGCCAUGACUCAGAGAUCUUGGUUCUGGUUAAAUCUCCCCUCAGAUCCUGUUUCCUCCCGAGGAACCGAGUUCCUCAAAAGCUCCGAGUCCCACAGGAAGCAUCGCUGCCACGCCGGCCUGUCCGGAGCAGGAACGCCGCAGGAACGCCGCAGGAACGCUGCAGGAACGCCGCAGGAACACUGCAGGAUGCCCCCUCUGAUGCCGCACAGCAGGAAAACUUCAGGCCAAACCUGGAAACAUCUCAACUGAACAGCAGCAGAGAGGAGGAAGUGAAAACAAGAACUGCCUUCAUCUUAACUUUAUCAAAACUCAGUAAAAGUGUCAGACAGCUGCUGCCUUCUCGUGGUUCGGUGUGAAAGCGGCGCUGCUGCUGCAGGGAGCCAAACAGGAGCAGCUCAAAAUGUCUGACAGAGCUGGAAACACCCAGAUCCUUCAUCAGCAGCAGGCCGAACCAGCCCGAGACAGGCGGAGAGGCUCUUCCUGCUCGGCUGCAGCCGCCCGCAGGGGAGGAGGGGUGUGAUGGGAGGAGAGCUGCCUGCGCUCCCUCCAGCAGGGGAUGAUGGGAGGAGAGGAGGAGGGGUCUGUAUCUGGAGAUGGAGGGCUGUCAGGAAUGUGGGAGAGCAAGCAGACAUGCAGCGAGCGAGGAGUCGAGCCACUCGCACUAAAUUUAACAAUGAGAGUCGGCAGAACGUUUAAAUUUAGUCUGCAGCUUCACCGAGUCGGAGCGGCUGCUGCUCACCCGGCACAAAACAUCUUCAUCCUGCGGCCGAGCGGCGGUCCGAACGGGUCAGGUUCUCCUCCACAAACCACCGAGGAGCCUCAGGGUCUUCCUGAACAAAGGAAACUUUUCUGAGCUUUAUGUUCAAGAGUUUUACAUCUUUCAUGACGUGGUGAAGAAAUGAAGCAAACUUCAUCUAGAUCAGGUCCAGAAAACACAAAACAGAAAUAAUCUGAAAUCCUGACAACUGAACUGAUGAUGAAUCUAAAAGCUCCAAACUGCAAGACGCUGAUUUCAAAGAAUCAGGAAGUUAUCGUUUGAUGUUUUCUGUUUCAUCCUCUUUAUUUUACCCGUGAAAAGGUUUGCAGAUUAUAAAAACUGAACAAACAAAAGAGGAAAAUCUGAAGAAAAACCUUCAGAAAGGACGAAAUAAAAAAGAAAGA